This 77-nucleotide transfer RNA is filed under the name Schwartzia succinivorans. RNAcentral describes it as "tRNA-Pro". It matches the Rfam family "tRNA". From Rfam's summary of the family: Transfer RNA (tRNA) molecules are approximately 80 nucleotides in length. Their secondary structure includes four short double-helical elements and three loops (D, anti-codon, and T loops). The record is from RNAcentral. Lineage: Bacteria; Bacillati; Bacillota; Negativicutes; Selenomonadales; Selenomonadaceae. RNAcentral also lists the same sequence under 2 other names.
CGGGGCAUAGCGCAGUUUGGUAGCGCACCUGGCUUGGGACCAGGGGGUCGCGUGUUCGAAUCACGCUGCUCCGACCA